AGUGAACGCUGGCGGCGUGCUUAACACAUGCAAGUCGAACGAGAACGGAAUAUAGCUUGCUAUAUUUGUCAGCUAAGUGGCGCACGGGUGAGUAAUAUAUAGAUAACCUGCCCUUAAGAAAGGAAUAACAGUUGGAAACGACUGCUAAUGCCCUAUAUGCCUUUAAUACAUAAGUAUGCAAGGGAAACGCUUUAGUGCUUAAGGAUGGGUCUGUAUGGUAUCAGCUUGUUGGUGAGGUAAUGGCUCACCAAGGCUAUGACGCCUAACUGGUUUGAGAGGAUGAUCAGUCACACUGGAACUGAGACACGGUCCAGACUCCUACGGGAGGCAGCAGUGGGGAAUAUUGCACAAUGGACGAAAGUCUGAUGCAGCAACGCCGCGUGGAGGAUGACACAUUUCGGUGCGUAAACUCCUUUUAUAUAGGAAGAUAAUGACGGUACUAUAUGAAUAAGCACCGGCUAACUCCGUGCCAGCAGCCGCGGUAA
RNAcentral lists this ribosomal RNA (485 nucleotides) under uncultured bacterium. RNAcentral describes it as "partial 16S ribosomal RNA". It matches the Rfam family "Bacterial small subunit ribosomal RNA", at positions 29 to 523 of the family's 1533-position model. The record is from RNAcentral.